Molecule: long non-coding RNA, 768 nt
Organism: Meriones unguiculatus (Mongolian gerbil)
Lineage: Eukaryota; Metazoa; Chordata; Mammalia; Rodentia; Muridae
Exons: 3
Source: RefSeq, a predicted model, not a curated record
AAGUACUCCUUAGAGUAGGGGAGUUAGGGGUGCCAGGAAGGGCAAGAGUGGGGCGCAGAGUCUAGCUGUAGUGAAAUCUUUUGGUGGGGGUUCGGGAGGGGGGGCAAAAGUCUCGGUGGGGAGCAGAGGAGGCCCUGGAGCAGCGGCUGAGGCACAGGAAGGAGGGAGGUGGAAGAGAGCCGGGGCGCUGAGCUGCGGAGAGAGGGUCUGGAAGGGCUCGGGCCUAGGGAAGAGCCGCUACGAGGAGGGGACCGGACAGGUGCAGAGAGCGCGCGAGCCAGAGAGCGGGAGCGCGGGGAGAAGGACGCAGCGCCACACAUCAUCUAAGACGGCUCGCCACCGCGUGCGGGGACGCGCAGAAAGACAGAACCACACUUUCAGGGCAAGGGACACCCAAGGGUUCUGAAUCCCAGAUCCAUCAGAGAAGAGAAGACAUGUGGGCACACUGGGGCCACCAACGUACACACCAUGACAUGGGACGUGUGGAGAGUCUGUCACCUGUCCACGUGUGAGCAGACACAUGGGCAUCUCUGGCCGUGCUUGCCCACAGCCAGAGAAGCGCACAUGUUGCGAAGCCAGCCGCGCAGUCAACAGGGACACAAGCGCACCCAUCUGCACCGAGGGCUGCAGGGCACAGCCUUGGUUCGGGUAGGUAUCAGGUUCAGGGCUCACUGCCCAUACAUGCACGUGGAUGCUUCAUGCACACAUACACAUUCUCAUCCCCCAUAUACAAGCACCCCAUCUUGGCCCCAGCCCCACCCUACCCCG